CUCAGAAUUGUAAUGACUGCACCAAGUCCUUCUACCGCAACUGUAGAUUCUACAAAUGAGCUGCUAGACGUCAUGGAUAGCAAUGUGAAAAACGCAUCUGCUUCCUCUAUAGGAAGUGAGAUAUCGGCUUCAGGACUUAAGCGUUCAUCAGACUUAGCUCCCGCAUCUGCAGCUGGUGCGGAGAAGGCGAGCGCCACAAGUGAGGCAGCUCUGGAGCCCUCUACAGGGCACAUGGAAAACUCUUAUUUUACCAGCGCAAUGGCUCACGGCAACGUUGAUGCUGUACGAAAGGAAAUGCAAACUCAGGAAAAGAUAAUUGCCACUCUACAGCGGGACAACGAAUCACUCCUGAGAGAGAAGAAGGAAAUUCUCAGUCGAUUCAAGCGGCUGGAGCAUGAUUUCGAGCACCUAGAAGCAAAGCACAGCUUGCUUCUCAGUGCACAGCAGGACUUUGCGGCACGGUCAAGCAUGCAUACAGCAAAUGACUCUGCCAAGAUCGUGAAUCUCCAAGCACAAGUCGAAGAGCUUCAAACCAAUUUGGAGACGGAAAAAAGGCGAUGUGCUCUACUGCUCCAAGAAAGGAACGACCUGGCUCAGUCUAAAAGCGAUACUCCUAGUCUUGUCGGCAGCGCCGAAAUCACUAAUGUGGCUGUGGUGAGGGAGCAGCAAGGCAGGAGCGAAGAUAUGGUGGCGAAGUUGCGUGAGUCUCAACGUAUUCACAGCAUUCAGAAAAGCACCAUCGAUGCAUUACACUCAGAGGUUACCCGCUUAGAGUCUGAGAGGAAGGUCUCACAUAGCCGAGAGAACAACUUGUUGCGCGAAGUGGACAGCCUGCGAACGCAAGUGCGGGAUUUGGAAUCGGCUCUGCAGCAGAAGAAAGGGAGCAUCAGGGAACUUAUCAGCAGCUGCCAGGCGGGCAGUGCCAACGCACAGCGCCUUAAGAAGCAAGAGAGUCGGAUUCGUUUGUUAGAGAAAGCCUUGCUAGAAAAGGACGAGUUCACUAAGAGAGCAAUGGAAGAGCUCCGCGCAGAAACAAAGAAAGUGUGUGAGCGCUAUCAAAGUACCAUUGCUGAGUUGCGGCAGCGUUUGGAAGUCCCCAAGGAUGAUCCCGAGCUGCGAAGACGUAUUAGCACUCUCGAAAGGGAGAACCUCGACCUUCGUGGUGGACUUGGAGGUGCCUCUGUUUCGUUAGCCGUAGAAAGUGGCCAACUGGUGCAGAAGAUAGCCACUGAGCCCAAGCACCAUACGGACGUGACUAACAAGACCGACAAACCCGCCGGGCAGGCUCUUAAGGCGCAUGGCUCUCACGAGCUUGAAGUUACACACCUUCAAUCCGUCACUGAGCGACUCCGCGCAGAAAUAUGCGAACACAAGCAACGAAACAUCACGCUUCAGAGCAAACUCGACAGCGUCCACGCUGAGUGGGAUGCUAGACUUGCCGAGAUGAAAACCAAUUUCGCUCUUCAAAUACAGACCCUGCGAUCUGCCCAUAAUGAAGAGCUGAGUCGCCUUGAGGCCAGUCAUCAAUCUCAGCUGCAAGAGAUUUCGAAGUGCUCAAAGGCAGGUAGAGAUAGCUUGGCAUCCAGGCUCUCUCGAGUUGUCGAAGAAAAGGGAUAUGAUGCCUCCCUUAUUGCCAUUGGGGAGAGGCUCUGCUUUUUGGAGAAGCUGUAUUGUCAAAAAGAGGAAGAAAAGACGCACGAGCUUCUAGAAAUGAAGCGCGUAGCCGAGCUGGAGAUGAAGAUUCAAAAGGAGAAGACUGAUUUACUGCUAGAGCAGAAAAACACAC
RNAcentral lists this unclassified non-coding RNA (1786 nucleotides) under Leishmania donovani. Its description in RNAcentral is "gene:LdHU3.23.1820(CDS-product:hypothetical_prote in_conserved)". Lineage: Eukaryota; Euglenozoa; Kinetoplastea; Trypanosomatida; Trypanosomatidae. The record is from RNAcentral.